This 253-nucleotide ribosomal RNA is filed under the name uncultured bacterium. RNAcentral's name for it is "partial 16S ribosomal RNA". It matches the Rfam family "Bacterial small subunit ribosomal RNA", at positions 524 to 776 of the family's 1533-position model. The record is from RNAcentral.
GACAGAGGGUGCAAACGUUGUUCGGAAUUACUGGGCGUAAAGCGCGCGUAGGCGGUUACGCAAGUCGGUUGUGAAAAUCCGGGGCUCAACCCCGGACCUGCAUCCGAUACUGCUCAACUCGAAGGCAGGAGAGGGAAGUGGAAUUCCCGGUGUAGUGGUGAAAUGCGUAGAUAUCGGGAGGAACACCAGUGGCGAAGGCGACUUCCUGGCCUGUUCUUGACGCUGAGGCGCGAAAGCUAGGGUAGCAAACGGG